CAGUCGCCACGGUAAUACAGAGGGUGCAAGCGUUAAUCGGAAUUACUGGGCGUAAAGCGCGCGUAGGUGGUUUGUUAAGUUGGAUGUGAAAUCCCCGGGCUCAACCUGGGAACUGCAUCCAAAACUGGCAAGCUAGAGUAUGGUAGAGGGUGGUGGAAUUUCCUGUGUAGCGGUGAAAUGCGUAGAUAUAAGAAGGAACACCAGUGGCGAAGGCGACCACCUGGACUGAUACUGACACUGAGGUGCGAAAGCGUGGGGAGCAAACAGGAUUAGAUACCCCUGUAGUCCCUGUCUCUUAUAC
Molecule: ribosomal RNA, 301 nt
Filed under: uncultured bacterium
Lineage: Bacteria
Description: partial 16S ribosomal RNA
Rfam family: Bacterial small subunit ribosomal RNA
Source: RNAcentral